RNAcentral lists this ribosomal RNA (497 nucleotides) under uncultured bacterium. RNAcentral describes it as "partial 16S ribosomal RNA". It matches the Rfam family "Bacterial small subunit ribosomal RNA", at positions 28 to 507 of the family's 1533-position model. The record is from RNAcentral.
GAUGAACGCUGGCGGCGUGCCUAAUACAUGCAAGUCGAGCGAACAGAUGAGGAGCUUGCUCCUCUGACGUUAGCGGCGGACGGGUGAGUAACACGUGGAUAACCUACCUAUAAGACUGGGAUAACUUCGGGAAACCGGAGCUAAUACCGGAUAAUAUAUUGAACCGCAUGGUUCAAUAGUGAAAGGCGGUUUUGCUGUCACUUAUAGAUGGAUCCGCGCCGCAUUAGCAAGUUGGUAAGGUAACGGCUUACCAAGGCAACGAUGCGUAGCCGACCUGAGAGGGUGAGCGGCCACACUGGAACGGAGACACGGUCCAGACUCCUACGGGAGGCAGCAGUAGGGAAUCGUGCGCAAGGGGCGAAAGCCUGACGGAGCAACGCCGCGUGAGUAAUGAAGGUCUCCGGAUCGUAAAUCUCUGUUAUUAGGGAAGAACAAAUGUGUAAGUAACUAGGCACGUCUUGACGGUACCUAAUCAGAGAGCCACGGCUAACCACGUG